Molecule: ribosomal RNA, 488 nt
Filed under: uncultured Lachnospiraceae bacterium
Lineage: Bacteria; Bacillati; Bacillota; Clostridia; Lachnospirales; Lachnospiraceae
Description: bacterial SSU rRNA
Rfam family: Bacterial small subunit ribosomal RNA
Source: RNAcentral
AGAGUUUGAUCCUGGCUCAGGAUGAACGCUGGCGGCGUGCCUAACACAUGCAAGUCGAACGGAGUUACGAUGAAACCUAGUGAUUCGUAACUUAGUGGCGGACGGGUGAGUAACGCGUGGAUAACCUGCCUUGCACUGGGGGAUAACACUUAGAAAUAGGUGCUAAUACCGCAUAAGCGCACGGAGCCGCAUGGCUCAGUGUGAAAAACUCCGGUGGUGUAAGAUGGAUCCGCGUCUGAUUAGUUGGUUGGCGGGGUAGAAGCCCACCAAGGCGACGAUCAGUAGCCGGCCUGAGAGGGUGAACGGCCACAUUGGGACUGAGACACGGCCCAAACUCCUACGGGAGGCAGCAGUGGGGAAUAUUGCACAAUGGGGGAAACCCUGAUGCAGCAACGCCGCGUGAGCGAAGAAGUCAUUCGUGAUGUAAAGCUCUAUCAGCAGGGAAGAAAAUGACGGUACCUGAGUAAGAAGCCCCGGCUAACUACGUG